AUAUGCCACUCGUACACUACGGUUCCUGCAUCGUUCACUCACGUGACGGCUGCUCGCUACGUUUCUCAACU
This 71-nucleotide small RNA is filed under the name Xanthomonas axonopodis. RNAcentral's name for it is "sX9". It matches the Rfam family "Xanthomonas sRNA sX9". The record is from RNAcentral. RNAcentral also lists the same sequence under 1 other name. Lineage: Bacteria; Pseudomonadati; Pseudomonadota; Gammaproteobacteria; Lysobacterales; Lysobacteraceae.